RNAcentral lists this long non-coding RNA (507 nucleotides) under Trifolium pratense (red clover). Its description in RNAcentral is "long non-coding RNA (TPRA_LNC003298)". The record is from RNAcentral. Lineage: Eukaryota; Viridiplantae; Streptophyta; Magnoliopsida; Fabales; Fabaceae.
UAAUUCCUAAUCUGAUGAGAUUAGUUACUCAUAAUAAUAAUUGACAUAACAAUUAUAUAAUAAUACAUCAAUGAUGAAGUCACCUUGAUAUAAAACCCAAUGGCAAUUGCUUCUUCCCUCGGUGACGGCGCGUGAGUUCCUUUGUUCUGUUUUUUUCCAAAAGUCUGCGUCCAUCUCUAGGUUAAAAGGAAGGCUCUUAUUUAUACCUUCUAAAAGGGACAAAAGUCCAAUCCGUAAAAGAAGCAAGAGAAUAUUAAAUCCUCCCUCUAGCUGCAUGACACGUGGUUUAGGAAUACUAAAGUUGAUGAUGUCACGCGUGUCCCUAGGUGAUGUGUGAAGAUAUCACAUGCAUGUGGGAGCAUAAAAUCGUGUCCCUAUGAAAGUUCUUCCGCGACGCGAGAUAAACAGAGAGUGCUGGGCAAACUUAUGUCUCAAAGCAUAGAAUUUUUCUAAGUCUUUUCUUCUUUUGGUCUUUAGUCUUCAAAUUCUUUUAUAUGUCAAUUUCUU